Molecule: ribosomal RNA, 253 nt
Filed under: uncultured bacterium
Lineage: Bacteria
Description: partial 16S ribosomal RNA
Rfam family: Bacterial small subunit ribosomal RNA
Source: RNAcentral
UACGUAGGGGGCGAGCGUUGUCCGGAGUUACUGGGCGUAAAGCGCACGCAGGCGGUUUCGUACGUCUGGAGUGACAGUUCCCGGCUCAACUGGGAAAGGUCUUUGGAAACGGCGAGACUUGAGGGCUUCAGAGGGACACGGAAUUCCGGGUGGAGUGGUGAAAUGCGUAGAGAUCCGGAGGAACACCAAUGGCGAAGGCAGUGUCCUGGGAAGCAUCUGACGCUCAGGUGCGAAAGCGUGGGGAGCAAACAGG